UUAUGUGAUCGUCUCUCGCAUAUCAAUAAGCGGAGGAAAAGAAACUAACAAGGAUUCCCCUAGUAACGGCGAGUGAAGCGGGAAGAGCUCAAAUUUGAAAUCUUAAAGGGUUUCCCUUUACGAAUUGUAGUUUAAAGAAGUGUUUUCUGUUGAGGUUUUGGUAAAAGUUCUUUGGAAUAGGACAUCAUAGAGGGUGAGAAUCCCGUAUUUGACCUUUACUUUCAACUUUGUGAUACACUUUCAAAGAGUCGGAUUGUUUGGGAAUGCAGUCCAAAAUGGGUGGUAAAUUUCAUCUAAAGCUAAAUAUUGGCGAGAGAUCCGAUAGCGAACAAGUACCGUGAGGGAAAGAUGAAAAGAACUUUGAAAAGAGAGUUAAACAGUACGUGAAAUUGUCAAAAGGGAAGCGUUUGACACCAGUGUUGUUUUUCUGAAAAUCAAUUAAAGAACUGUUUAUGCUAAGUUGUUUAGACUUUAUCAGCUAUACUGUUUAGUUUUGAGCUUUUCUUUAAUGCACUUUUCAGUUAACAAGUCAACAUCAAUUUCUUUUGCUGUAAAAAAGCUUGAGGAAGGUGGCUUGAGAUUCGUCUUAAGUGUUUAUAGCCUCUUGCCUAUGCAGUCGGAGAGAUUGAGGUCUGCAGCGUAGAUCCUUCGGGGCUAAAUGCAUUUGUGCUAAGUUAUAGCAUUUUAUAGACAACUUGUUGACUAUGAUUUGUCUUGUAGCUUACUCGCUUAUGUUAUUUUACCUACGCUUAGGAUGUUGAUCUACAGAGCGAGAGU
This 777-nucleotide ribosomal RNA is filed under the name uncultured Neocallimastigales. RNAcentral describes it as "partial large subunit ribosomal RNA". It matches the Rfam family "Eukaryotic large subunit ribosomal RNA", at positions 24 to 635 of the family's 3401-position model. The record is from RNAcentral. Lineage: Eukaryota; Fungi; Neocallimastigomycota; Neocallimastigomycetes; Neocallimastigales.